GACUCGGUGGUGGACGGCCGCCCGCGCUCCAUUGAUGCUGACGAUAAGGCAUGUAGCGGGAGGCGCCUGUUCGACUCAGGCCCGAGUCA
This is a non-coding RNA of Mycena latifolia, 89 nucleotides long. The record is from the annotation of a GenBank genome assembly. Lineage: Eukaryota; Fungi; Basidiomycota; Agaricomycetes; Agaricales; Mycenaceae.